GCGGGGGUAGCAAAGCCUGGAAAAUGCGCAGGACUUAAGAUCCUGUCCCUUAGUGGGUCCGUGGGUUCAAAAUUGAAGCUACGCUUCAAUCCUCAGCAAAGCGGAGCUUUGAUGAAUGUCCCACCCCCCGCA
This 132-nucleotide transfer RNA is filed under the name Candidatus Woesearchaeota archaeon. Its description in RNAcentral is "tRNA-Leu". Lineage: Archaea; Nanobdellati; Candidatus Woesearchaeota. The record is from RNAcentral.